Long non-coding RNA from Halichondria panicea, 2309 nucleotides. RefSeq lists it as uncharacterized. The record is from RefSeq and is a predicted model, not a curated record. Lineage: Eukaryota; Metazoa; Porifera; Demospongiae; Suberitida; Halichondriidae. The transcript has 10 exons.
AAGUCGGUUAACACCCACUUGAGAAUAAUAAUAUUCAUAGCAGUACUACAUAAUGCGCAGAACAAAUUCCAGAUAGGCUUGCAACCCGACCUCCCGUCAGGGACGGUCGGGCUCCGCCCAACUAGAUGGAGACGGCUGGUGAGGAAAAGCAUUCACUUGUCCUUCCCUCUAGGAGCUUCAACAAGGGUGGAUACUGCUCCAAAGUACCAGCAGCAAUGGAUCACGAGGCAAAGAGCAUCGCAGCGAGUACAAUGAUGGAGAGCACGAGAGGGGCGGAGUCAGUGACAAGUUGCUAUGACAACAUAUGAUGGAAAAGUUACAAGGUGACACUGUGGAGUUUGCGUACGACCCAUUGGACGACGUCUUGCACUGCAGAUAAAGAUUCGUGAGAGUCAAUUGUUCCCUCUGUUGGAUGCUGAUGAUGAUCGAUCCAUUGGACGUCAGAUAAAAAUAGGAUCGACCUAAGGUUUAAUCACUGCCUCAUGAAUGGAGGUGUCAAGCACACACAGUGCUCCAACAUCUCUGUGUGUAUCCUUCACCCUGCCUGCAUGGUGUCUACUCCUAGACUGAGGGAAUGGAGGUAUCAAGCACACACAGUGCUCCAACAUCUCUGUGUGUAUCCUUCACCCUGCCUGCAUGGUGUCUACUCCUAGACUGAGGGAAUGGAGGUAUCAAGCACACACAGUGCUCCAACAUCGCUGUGUGUGCUAUGGUAUCCUUCACCCUGCCUGCAUGGUGUCUACUCCUAGACUGAGGGAAUGGAGGUGUCAAGCACACACAGGAGUAUUGACGUGACUCCCUCCAGGCCUGGUGAAAUGGACCAAUCGUCUCACUAUUAUUAGUACAACCAGUAGGUUGUACAUAGGAUUGACAGUGCAGUUGUGUGUGCAUGUUUUCAAUUAUUGCACAAAUUUUGACUUGUGUUUAGACUGCUCUAUUUCUGCAGGAAAACAUCACAAACAUUAUAUAGCUUGCAAAAAAUUCACUAUACAAUGUAAUUAUAAUUAUUAUGAUAAAAAUUACUGAAGGAUUGGCCAGGAAAAGCACAAAACGAACAAAAAAUUGAAACAGUACAUGUGAAUGAAGUUGUAACGGAUUGGAGUUAUGCACUCGCCGAAUUUCUUGUUUCUUUGCUUUUUCGCGCUUUUCUUUUCCUGGCAAUCCUAGCAACGUUCACAUUGCAAAUGUUUUUUAGUUUUGAUAAUUAUAUAGCACAUGCAGCAGCAAAGUACAACACAUCAGUCAGCAAGAAACCACCUCACCCCAGCAAGGUGCUCAGUGUGAGACGCACAGUAAAGGAGCCUCCAUCACAACACCAGCGAUAAUUAUUUUCCAUAGUCAUGAUGAGGCACGCUGUUUCUUAUAAUCUUAUAAUCAUGGACACUGAUGGGACAAGUUGAAGACAUUGUCUAGCCUCGUUCCCAGGCCUUACUUUUUCUUGCUGUUGUCACUGUUCAUCCAUAACAUAAGAAAGACAUAGUGAGGCAGCAAAGAAAGAAAUGGGCGUACAGUUAAGAAAAAGUAAGGCCUGGUUUGGGAAAUCGCGUGAUCCACAAGGAUUUUUAUGAACGUGGGCGAUAUGUAGCCCACAAUCGUGACGUAAGGUAUUCUCCCACGCAUUCAGAGUAAGACUGUACUGUACUGCACUAGACAACCACCAAGCUGUGCUGCAAGUCAGAUCAGAGAACCAGCGUGGCCAGCUCUGGUGGCAGUAGCUACCUGCUAUAUGAUAAUGAUGACUAAGCUAUUCUACUAUAGCAUGUAGAAAGACACAAGAAAAGGUAAUAGUGAUAGAAUCUAAACACACAAUCUAGACUAGUAGAUCAUCUAGCUAAGCCUAAGGUAUAGCUAGCUAUAGUGCUUGCAAACUUCCAGUUCAAGUCCAUGUCCAGCUUGCUGCAGGCAAAGUUUUAUUAGUCGUAGACCUCUGCGUGGGCAGUCCAAUAUCUCUAGCUCAGUAUGCCCACGCUCAUUUUCACCCUUCUACCACCCUUCUACCCUCACGCGACUUCCCGAUACAGGCUCUCCUUUUCCUAACUCUACGUCUAUUUCUUUCUUUAUUCCUCCAAUUAAUACCGUAUUUUAUCUCAUUGAACGAAUAAUACAGUAUUUUAUCUUAUUGAACGAUUGUGAUAAAGAACAGAAAAAGGAGAGCCUGUGUAGAGGCUAGACAUUGUCAAGAAAGUAAACACAAACAAGCCCGUUACCAAGGAAACAUGACAACAUUGAUCAUCAUUGACAAUUUUUAGCCAUAAAAAUUAAUUGUUGUAUUUUUUUAUUUCUACUGCUAAAAAUUAAUUAUGACCAAG